RNAcentral lists this long non-coding RNA (4969 nucleotides) under Triticum aestivum (bread wheat). RNAcentral's name for it is "long non-coding RNA (TAES_LNC012488)". The record is from RNAcentral. Lineage: Eukaryota; Viridiplantae; Streptophyta; Magnoliopsida; Poales; Poaceae.
AAUAACAUGAUCCAUAGAAAUGAAGAGGAAACGAUCCACAAGUGAAAAGACAUACACAAUUGAAUUGAUUCGGAUAAAAGCCCAAGUACAUAAGUUGUUAGAAUACAUAGCAUCAGAACAACACCGGCAACAGAUUGUACAUAUCAUCCGCAUAUUUACAAACACAAACAAGGCAUAAAGGCUUUAUCAGCCUCUACACACGAAUAUUUGCCGUGACUGAAACAGGAACACUGAGGGUGGAAGGCGCUUGGAAGGACGCAUCACAACAGUCGGCUGGUCUACCCAUUCACUUUGCAGGCACAAACUCCAGAAUGUGCAACAUAUGUGCUGCAAAUGCUGAACACAGGCAAUAGAGAUGAAGUUAGGCCACAACAAAUCUGGCAAUUGAACCGAAGAAAUGGGACGAUAAAAACCAUGAUUCCAUCUCCUAGUCGACCCAGCCGAGCAAGAAAAAAAAUACAAAACUAAAAUUAAAACACACACACGGCAUCACUCAGAUUCAACUACAGGAAUCACACACUAAAUAAUCUUGCUAGCUCCUCGUCGAUCACCCUGCCGAGCAAGAACAAAAAUACAAAACUGAAAAUAAAACACACACACACACACACACACACAACAUCACUCAGAUUCAACUAAAGGAAUUGCACUCUGGGAAUAAUGUGUUAUGAAGAGAAAUUGUGAAGCGUCAUCAUGUUGACAGAAAAAAAACUAAAGCAGUAUGUGCUUUUGUCCAAAACUCACUGAUAUACUAUGUUUCUGUAAGUGAAAUUGGCAGCCUGCAUCUUUUAAUAUGGCACAUCUUCAAUGGACCGGCUGGCAGAACAUUAAAACCUUGUAUUUAUGUACAAAAUUCUUUUGGUGGGCUGCUAGUAUAGCAUAUAAAAACCAUAGGCUGUCAGUAUUGUGCCACAAGGUGUUCACCAUUUUAUCAACACAUAGAAGGCCAAAGUUAUCUAUUCUCUGAUCAGAAGUAAAAAGAUAUACAUUAUGCACCACUUACAUUAGAGUAACCCUGCUAAAUUGGGAGGGGGGGGGUCUAUUUAUACCGACUAUAGGAGAGAAGACAGUAAUAUAGGCUUGUACAAGUCACGUCAAAGGCAACAUAAACAUGCAAGUAGUUGAAAGUGGAGCAUAAAAACUCCGCAAGUAAAACAUUGUGUGCUUCCGCUAUUAAUUGAUUCAAUUUGUGGCUACAUGCAGUAGGCUAGGCAGCACCAUUUAGUUCUUUAGCAAAUCUCUUGAUAAAAAGCAUAUUGGAGAGAGGGAACAAACUACAUGUGUCUAAGGUCAUAAAAAAUCACUCCGUCGAUAGCAUAUAGGCUUCAGAUCUGAUCGCUUUUUUCUAAAAAAAUGUCUUGUCGUGUCCACACAAUAUUAUGCAUCUAAUCCGAGGGAUGUAAGUAACCAAAUUACUGUGACUAAUGUUUUGACCCAUAUUUAUUUGUUCUAAUGUAGCUGAAGCGAAGUCACUGAAUCAAGGCAAUCCUAUGAGCCGCAAGGCUAAAGAGAACAUGUUGAAUAUGCUAAUACUACAUCGCAAAAAAGCAAGUAUUUAUAGCUAAUACUAUAUCUAACAUAACCAUUUCUUUUAUCAUCACAGAAGCAAGUAUUUCUACCCCGCAAAAAAAGCAAGUAUUUAUAGCUAAUACUACAUUGUAAUAAAUGAAUCGGCAGUAAUGAAUUGGUUAGGCUGCUUCACAUUGCAAGAGAAGUCUGCAUAAGAAUCAGACCUAGCAAAAGGUUGGGUGGUCAGGUCAACCUGAAUAUUACGUCAUUUGUGUGCCUCUCCUCUUGUCGUAUGCAGCUGCUCGUGUACUGGUCACCUCCUGGUGGUAGCCGCUCACAAGUGCUCCCUUUUUGAUGAAAAUGCCCGAGACAAAUCACUAACUGAGCCUAAUGAAAUAGCAAAGAAAGUUUUACUGGCGGCACAAAAUGUAGCACAAAUCAAGUAGAAGAAGAGACAUAGAGCACAAUAACUUUUAAAGAAAUAUCAGCUCCAUACGAUAAUUGUGGUGCUAAAACAAAUAUUUGUGGUGCAGGCUUAGGAUUGAUUUAAUUCUUCUUUACAAAAAAGAGGUAGAGAAGCCGUGAGUUAUGAUAUAAUAAAGACUAACUAAGUAACAAACAGUGUAAGAAAGCAAAUUGCUGUGUAAGAGACCAUUAUUUAAUCUUAUGAUCACACUCAGUAGCAAAUGGCUCUAAGGAUCAGCGGCUCAUACUCAGGAAAACGCUCAGGAAAAAUGACAUACUAAACCUAGGGCCGGCUCUAGGAUUUCAAAGGCCCCAGGGCGAACUCCACCGAUGGGCCCAACAGAGAGAAAAUUCCAAUUCAAUACGUCCAAAAUUGAUCAUUUUUGAAGCUACAAUAAGCCGAAAUUAACAGCAUCAGACCAUAGAGCCCAAAAAAUCCUAAUACUUGGAAUCUAGCCAAACCAGGGAGCACAAAAGGCCCCUGUAUUUGGAAUAUAGUCUCAGUCCAACAGCAUCUCCAAAUAGAGAAGACGACAAAUCUACAAGCCCGGGCCUACAAACAAACAAGAACAAAGAAAGGAGAGAGAGAAGGGGUAGACCUUCACUUCCCUGGACGAAGACAAACCCAGUUCCGCUGCCUCGUGCGCUGACUGGCGUGUGGUGGUGAAGAGGUGGCUGGGCGUUGAGGUAUCUUUCGAGUGGAGAGCUCCCAAUUGAAAACACAUCAAGCAAAGAAUUAGAAAACAGAAGUACCGAACAAAUUAAUUAACAUUAAAACACCAUUUCUUCAUAUAAUUAGAAACUGGAAACUGGGAGCCGACUGGAUAACCAAAUUAAUCUAGCAACCAAGAAUAACAUUUUGAUUCGCAGAACUACAACCACAAUACGCAUGGACCCUCAAAUGAUCUUUUUCUAAUCAACCAUGCGACCUAUCUGGCAUGUGAUUAUAUGGCUAAGCAAGGACCAAAUUAAUCUAGCACCUGAAAGCAGCACUUUGAUAUGAAAUAAAGGUAUGAGAGAGAAGAAAUAUUUACAUAAUAUGGGUAUAACCACUGGAGCAUAAAUAAAUGACACCUUUAAAUUUAAAAAAAUGGUUCAGGGUUCAUUGGAUAGUGGGCUCAGAUUCAUCUUUCCUCGAUCAUAUAACCUACCCCCAUCGUUUCUUUUCACCAGAUUAAUCUGUUUAUACAACGAAGCUGCCCUGGUUAUCACUCAAGAAGAACGACCAUCCAAGGACAGAACAAUAAGUAUCACAUGAUCAAAAAGGAUUCUAGAGACAAGAAGGAGGAUCCAACUUGAUACCCACAGGUGCCUCAAUUGCUCAAAGGCACACUUACUUCAUCCACGGUUAAUCAUCAUCGCCCUAGCACGAACGUCACUUAUCAAUUUAGCAAAUCCAGGAGCAUAGCUAUAGGACCAGGGCACCCACAUGUUGACCAGAGCAUCACAGGAGGUCCUAUGAUAGCAAAUGAACAUGAACAACAGCCUGCGAACCCUAGAAUAGCAUGGAUCCACAACUACAGAGCUCAAGCAGGAACCAAUGCAUGAGUAGGGCAUAGAGCAUCAACCAGACGAGCACCACAUCAAUAUAGCCACAACCAUGUUACAUACAAUAGCCGAAGUAGAGGAGCAGGACGAGGAUGGAGCUCACCGAGGAUGGUUGUAGCAGAGGAGAGAGGAGGCUAGGGUUUUACCACGAGCGUGGCCCCCCUUUUAUACCCAUGUACAUGAGAUGAUGAAAAUGCCCUCGGCGGGGGACAGGAAUUACGCGUGGUGCACGAGAUUUUUACCGCGAGACGGUAACUAUCCAUUCCUACAAUGCCUCGGCUUUGAUCCGACGGCCGAGGUCAUCCAGUGGCUCGAUCCGACGGGGACAGGAAUUAAGAGUAUGAACAACCAUGAUCAAGUGCAGUUCAACAAUCAGAUAGGAUGAGAAUAACGGACAUGCUAUACACAACAAUCAUAAUAAAAGAAUAAUAAUUGAGGCCUCAUCCUUAACCUGCAAAAGAAAAUUAAGCAUGCACUUGAUCCUGUUUUUUGCUACUAAUCAGUGAGUCCCUACUAUUAGCUAAAAGGGGACCAACAUUUAUCUUUGUUCUUGCAAAUUGUGAUUAAUAUCACUGAACAACAAUACUAUAGGAUAUCAUGUAGUGCAGUAAUCAUGUACACUUAUGUUCUUAUUAGCCAACUAAGCAAGCAGAAAAACUAAAUCAACGCAUCACUGUGUAGAUAAGCGACAAGCAAGCAAACUGAACAAUUAACACCCUGUAUAACUGUGUAGAUAAGCAACAAGCAAGCAAACUGAACAAUUAACACCCUGUAUAUAGUAUCUCUGCUACAAUCUAACAAUCACACAUAACACUUACAUAUGUAAUUCACAGCAAAAAAAUAUUGAGCUUUCUCAUAAUAAAGAAAACAAUUCUUGCAUAAUACCUGCAAAGCAAUCUGGUUGGAACCUGCAAAGCCAAUCAAGCCCACAACAUCAAUAGCCCCUCAUUUCCAGUGAAUGUAUCCGUUCGGUAUAUUGACCAAUUGUCCAUCCCUAUUCUGCAAAGAACAGAACAUCACUCAAAAGCUUGCUUUGAUUUUCAUCGAGCAACUUGUAAACAUACAACUUGUACACAUGUAUAGAAAAGAUUAUGCACAAACAAAGAUGAGAAGACGAGUACAUGAGAUAAGAUAUCGGGCUAAUCAGGAGGAAGAGAGAAGUGUGGGUACCUGCAAGAAAAGGAUAGAGAAAUUGGAGGUGCAUGGAGGUGGUACGGUGUCUUCUUCCUCUUCUCCUCCUGCUCCCUCCCUUCUCCAAAUCCAUCUUUCAUCUCGUGGUGGGUACAUGAGGCUGACACGGCUGACUGACCUUGAGGAGAAGGGAACACAGUCAGGAGCUGGCAGCAAGAGGGGGUCCAAGAAGAGGAAAGAAAGAGAGAAGAAAUGAACCUGCAGAUAAUCGCAUCUGGCAGUGCUUGGGGAUGGCGGCGUGGGUGUCCGCCAGCUCGAA